AUGGCUAUGAGUACCUGGGCAACAGUGGGAGGCUGGUGAUCACGCCCCUCACCGACAGUGCUACCUGACACUGACCGGAGCUCUGCACCUCAAGUUUGGGGGUGCCCCAGCUGGCCCAGCUGGCACAGGCAAAACUGAGACCACCAAAGACCUGGGUAAGGCCUUGGCCAUACAGACCGUUGUGUUCAACUGCUCUGACCAGCUCGACUUCAUGGCCAUGGGCAAGUUCUUCAAGGGCCUGGCCAGGCUGGGGCCUGGGCCUGCUUCGACGAGUUCAAUCGCAUCGACAUCGAGGUGCUGUCUGUGGUGGCGCAGCAGAUCACCACCAUCCAGAAGGCGCAGCAGCAGCGGUGGAACGCUUCAUGUUUGAGGGUGUGGAGAUCCCACUGGUGCCAUCCUGCGCAGUGUUUAUCACCAUGAACCCGG
Molecule: long non-coding RNA, 426 nt
Filed under: Homo sapiens (human)
Lineage: Eukaryota; Metazoa; Chordata; Mammalia; Primates; Hominidae
Description: long non-coding RNA NONHSAT089916.2
Source: RNAcentral